GCGUCAGCCUGCGAAGUCCCAGACUACGAAUCUGGGGGUCAGGAGUUCGAAUCUCUUCGGGUGCGCCA
RNAcentral lists this transfer RNA (68 nucleotides) under Agrobacterium pusense. RNAcentral's name for it is "tRNA-Arg". Lineage: Bacteria; Pseudomonadati; Pseudomonadota; Alphaproteobacteria; Hyphomicrobiales; Rhizobiaceae. The record is from RNAcentral.